This 466-nucleotide ribosomal RNA is filed under the name uncultured bacterium. RNAcentral describes it as "partial 16S ribosomal RNA". It matches the Rfam family "Bacterial small subunit ribosomal RNA", at positions 28 to 507 of the family's 1533-position model. The record is from RNAcentral.
GAUGAACGCUGGCGGCGUGCUUAACACAUGCAAGUCGAACGGAAAGGCUCCUGCUUGCAGGGGUACUCGAGUGGCGAACGGGUGAGUAACACGUGGGUGAUCUGCCCUGCACUUCGGGAUAAGCCUGGGAAACUGGGUCUAAUACCGGAUAGGACGAUGGUUUGGAUGCCAUUGUGGAAAGUUGUUUCGGUGUGGGAUGAGCUCGCGGCCUAUCAGCUUGUUGGUGGGGUAAUGGCCUACCAAGGCGUCGACGGGUAGCCGGCCUGAGAGGGUGUACGGCCACAAUGGGACUGAGAUACGGCCCAGACUCCUACGGGAGGCAGCAGUGGGGAAUAUUGCACAAUGGGCGCGAGCCUGAUGCAGCGACGCCGCGUGGGGGAUGACGGCCUUCGGGUUGUAAACUCCUUUCGCUAGGGACGAAGCGCAAGUGACGGUACCUGGAGAAGAAGCACCGGCUAACUACGUG